AGAUUGAACGCUGGCGGCAGGCCUAACACAUGCAAGUCGAGCGGUAGAGAGGUGCUUGCAUCUCUUGAGAGCGGCGGACGGGUGAGUAAUGCCUAGGAAUCUGCCUAGUGGUGGGGGAUAACGUUCGGAAACGGACGCUAAUACCGCAUACGUCCUACGGGAGAAAGCGGGGGACCUUCGGGCCUCGCGCCAUUAGAUGAGCCUAGGUCGGAUUAGCUAGUUGGUGAGGUAAUGGCUCACCAAGGCGACGAUCCGUAACUGGUCUGAGAGGAUGAUCAGUCACACUGGAACUGAGACACGGUCCAGACUCCUACGGGAGCAGCAGUGGGGAAUAGUUGGAACAAGUGGGACGAAAGCCUG
RNAcentral lists this ribosomal RNA (360 nucleotides) under uncultured soil bacterium. RNAcentral describes it as "bacterial SSU rRNA". It matches the Rfam family "Bacterial small subunit ribosomal RNA", at positions 26 to 385 of the family's 1533-position model. The record is from RNAcentral.